Long non-coding RNA from Ostrinia nubilalis (European corn borer), 2500 nucleotides. RefSeq lists it as uncharacterized. Lineage: Eukaryota; Metazoa; Arthropoda; Insecta; Lepidoptera; Crambidae. The record is from RefSeq and is a predicted model, not a curated record. The transcript has 2 exons.
AUCAUUAUCACCUCCCAGCUGUGCCUCAGCGACGUGGUAGCAGACGCGGCCGACCGCUCCAUGGCCAUGCUGCACGACGAGGCUUCUUACAGCACGCACGCGCCAGGAUCUUCAUCUCUAAUGUCCGAAUCGAUGGGACUAGGAGGCAUGUCAGGAUUAGGGGAGACGUGUCUACCUUCACUCCUGCUGGGCGGCCCGCACCACCACGCGCCGCACUCUCCCCACCACCACCCGCGGCAACAUUGCUUCGACAUGGACUUGGGAGCUUAGCCAAGAAUCCAGACUCAGUCAAAAUGCCCAGUGGUACGAAACACGCAGUAUAUUGGAACAUGAUGGUUAUACUUUUGUAUAAACAAGUUUUACUGCGUUUUCUAGAUCAAGACAGUUUUAGAAGUUCGUUACAAUUUUUUGUGUUCUGUGGAACCAGACAACGAAUUUUUUUGCUAAUACCCGAGAAAAAAAUUGAAAUACCUAAUUCUACGCCCAUUUCAACAGCUGACUCAAAGAAUUAAAGUAUAUUAUGCCAUUUCUUUGUGGUGUCUUGUGAGAUUUUGGUGCACACAGAUGGAAUUCUUCGUGCUCUUAACUGAGUAAAAACCUAAACUUAGAACACACCUGGAUACUAUAAACACUUGAAUAAAAAAGAUCUCUACAACCUGGUUAUAAAAGACGUAUGCGUGGAUUUUUGUCGUAUGUCCAGAUCGAAUCGUAUCAUGCAAUUGAUUUCAGUACAUUUUAACUUAUAAUGAAGUUUGAGUAGAUAAUUAACAUCAAAUAUCAACUUUUUCAAACUUAUCAUUUUUAAAAUUUUUACUAUUUAAUUUAGAAAAGUACAGCAAAACUUUUUUAAUUUCAAAUUAUUUUAUUGAUUUGAUGAAUUCUUCUUGCACAAUUUUUGUUUGCCUGAAAACACUGCAAUUUCUACGACUAAUGCUUACAUUUUUCUAAUUUUUUGAAUCACAGUUGAAAAACCAAAGAUCACUUUGUCAAAAAUACUAUUUGGAAUAUUUUGAGUCCUAAUUUUAGACUUAAGUAUUUAAAAGGUCGUGAUACAUUAGUUACCAGCUCAUCUUUUAGAGAUAUUAUUAAUUUAGUUGAUUUUAUAACUUGUUUCUAAAUUUUGGCCCACUGUGCAAACAAAGGGUUGUGCUAAGAUUUUUAAGCUUUUGAAAAAAAGGAUUUGUCAAAAUCUACGUAACUAUUUUUAACGUAAAAGUAUUUAAAAAUAAACAAGAUUUUUGUUGUAUUUUACAUUUUGAUAUAAAAGCAAUUUUACAAGGAAUUUUGUAAAAUUAACGGUGCUUUACUUAUUUUCUGGAGACUAAAAUGGUGUCUAUUUUACAUAGAAUAUAUUAUUUUAUAUAUUUAUAUACAAUAUAACUGGGAUAAUAACUAGAGGACCAUAAUUACAUAAAAAUGUGAUACAAUAUAUUUUUAGAUGAUAUUUAUUGAGAUAUUUUACUAUUUUUAUGUGAAUAUCACAAAGUGCCUUGCUUUUAGCCAAUCAUCAGAUGCUUAUUUAUGUUAAAUUUUGUAAAUAUUUAUGAGAUUUUUAAAAAUCUUUAACACUGGUUAAGCAAUUCACGUGUGUACGUUAAGUUUUUGUGAUGAAUUUAUUAAAAAACUGUAAUUUAGAUUCAUAAUUCAGUAUUUUAUCUUUGAACUGUAUAAGAAAUGUAAGAUUAGGGUGAUUUUGUAUUACCGAAAUAUUUUGUUAAAAAAUGUUGCUUUGGCGCAGCUAAUUUUUUGAUGAAUGCAAAAAUUUCUAUUUUUGUACACCCUAUAUUAAGCGUAGUGGUACUUUGUUGUUAAACAAAUCGAACAAAAGCUAUUUUAUCUAAUUUUAAGUAAAAUGCGAAUCAGUGAGCCUUAUAGUAGAUUUUAUUUUUAAUAAUAGUAGAGAGAAUCGUUAUUUUGUUACUUCUUGUGAAAGUUAAGUGUGUGUGAAUUUCGCUGGGAAAUAAAAUAACGAAAUAAAUAAAUAAAAAUGUUUACCUACAAUUUUGGACCUUCGUAACACCUGCGUUUAGUAAUUCUGUAGAUAAUAUUCUAAAUAUCGUAUUAAAAGUGAUAUUAUGUGCCUUAAUAUGUACUUUGUAUAGUAAUAAAUAUUGUUUAUCGUGUAAAUAGAUUAUUUUGUUCAUAUUUAGAUAAUAUUUAAGAUUUUUUUUCGUUUGACCUGUACAUUGUAGUUUAGCAAAUUUGAAGCAUUACAUUAUAUUUAGUUCUCUUUUUUCUUUAAUUCUACAAAAAAAAAUGAUAUUGUAUUUCAAUAACUUAGAAAACGAAUUAGCAACUAUAUUAUUUGUGAAAACUUUAUUAUAUGAUUUAUUUAGCUAUUUACUUACGAUAAAACGCAAUAAUUUACCUAUAUCUUUUAUGUGGAAUUUUGUGUCUCGAGCGAAACACAAACACAAACUUAUGUAUGAAUGUUAUUUAAUAUUGUAUGAGAUUAAAAAUGUUAAAGUACAAAAGUAAAUAACAAAAUUUACGAGAAUAA